RNAcentral lists this ribosomal RNA (434 nucleotides) under uncultured bacterium. RNAcentral describes it as "partial 16S ribosomal RNA". It matches the Rfam family "Bacterial small subunit ribosomal RNA", at positions 29 to 507 of the family's 1533-position model. The record is from RNAcentral.
AGCGAACGCUGGCGGCAGGCCUAACACAUGCAAGUCGAACGAACCUUUCGGGGUUAGUGGCGGACGGGUGAGUAACACGUGGGAACGUGCCUUUAAGUUCGGAAUAACUCAGGGAAACUUGUGCUAAUACCGAAUGUGCCCUUCGGGGGAAAGAUUUAUCGCCUUUAGAGCGGCCCGCGUCUGAUUAGCUAGUUGGGUGAGGUAAUGGCUCACCAAGGCGACGAGCAGUAGCUGGUCUGAGAGGAUGAUCAGCCACAUUGGGACUGAGACACGGCCCAAACUCCUACGGGAGGCAGCAGUGGGGAAUCUUGCGCAAUGGGCGAAAGCCUGACGCAGCCAUGCCGCGUGAAUGAUGAAGGUCUUAGGAUUGUAAAAUUCUUUCACCGGGGACGAUAAUGACGGUACCCGGAGAAGAAGCCCCGGCUAACUUCGUG